CAGCCGUAAACUAUGCUCGCUAGGUGUCAGGCAUGGCGCGACCGUGUCUGGUGCCGCAGGGAAGCCGUGAAGCGAGCCACCUGGGAAGUACGGCCGCAAGGCUGAAACUUAAAGGAAUUGGCGGGGGAGCACAACAACGGGUGGAGCCUGCGGUUUAAUUGGACUCAACGCCGGACAACUCACCGGGGACGACAGCAAUAUGUAGGCCAGGCUGAAGACCUUGCCUGAAUCGCUGAGAGGAGGUGCAUGGCGUAG
This 255-nucleotide ribosomal RNA is filed under the name uncultured archaeon. RNAcentral describes it as "partial 16S ribosomal RNA". It matches the Rfam family "Archaeal small subunit ribosomal RNA", at positions 748 to 1002 of the family's 1478-position model. The record is from RNAcentral.